Molecule: ribosomal RNA, 506 nt
Filed under: uncultured bacterium
Lineage: Bacteria
Description: bacterial SSU rRNA
Rfam family: Bacterial small subunit ribosomal RNA
Source: RNAcentral
AUGGCUCAGGAUGAACGCUAGCGGCAGGCUUAACACAUGCAAGUCGAGGGGCAUCGGGAGUAGCAAUACUUGCCGGCGACCGGCGCAAGGGUGCGUAACGCGUGAGCAACAUGCCCGUAUCAGGGGGAUAAUCCAUGGAAACGUGGUCUAAUACCCCAUAGUAAUUAUGUAAGGCAUCUUAUAUAAUUUAAAGCUUUGGUGGAUACGGAUUGGCUCGCGUGACAUUAGCUAGAUGGUAAGGUAACGGCUUACCAUGGCUACGAUGUCUAGGGGUUCUGAGAGGAAGGUCCCCCCACACUGGAACUGAGACACGGUCCAGACUCCUACGGGAGGCAGCAGUGAGGAAUAUUGGACAAUGGAUGGAAAUCUGAUCCAGCCAUGCCGCGUGCAGGAAAGACGGCCCUAUGGGUUGUAAACUGCUUUUGUAUGGGAGCAAUAAGGGCUACGCGUAGUCCGAUGAGAGUACCAUACGAAUAAGCACCGGCUAACUCCGUGCCAGCAGCAGC